GAUGAACGCUGGCGGUAUGCUUAACACAUGCAAGUCGAACGGACUCUUCGGAGUUAGUGGCGGACGGGUGAGUAACGCGUGAGAAUCUGGCUUUGGGUUCGGGACAACCACUGGAAACGGUGGCUAAUACCGGAUGUGCCGAGAGGUAAAAGAGAAAUUGCCUGAAGAUGAGCUCGCGUCUGAUUAGCUAGUUGGUGAGGUAAAGGCUCACCAAGGCAGCGAUCAGUAGCUGGUCUGAGAGGAUGACCAGCCACACUGGGACUGAGACACGGCCCAGACUCCUACGGGAGGCAGCAGUGGGGAAUUGUCCGCAGUGGGCGAAAGCCUGACGGAGCAAUACCGCGUGAGGGAAGAAGGCUCUUGGGUUGUAAACCUCUUUUCUUAGGGAAGAACAAAAUGACGGUACCUAAGGAAUCAGCAUCGGCUAACUCCGUG
RNAcentral lists this ribosomal RNA (435 nucleotides) under uncultured bacterium. RNAcentral's name for it is "partial 16S ribosomal RNA". It matches the Rfam family "Bacterial small subunit ribosomal RNA", at positions 28 to 507 of the family's 1533-position model. The record is from RNAcentral.